AGGUGCGAUCAUACCAGCACUAAUGCACCGGAUCCCAUCAGAACUCCGCAGUUAAGCGUGCUUGGGCGAGAGUAGUACUAGGAUGGGUGACCACCUGGGAAGUCCUUGUAUUGCACCUC
RNAcentral lists this ribosomal RNA (119 nucleotides) under Medicago truncatula (barrel medic). Lineage: Eukaryota; Viridiplantae; Streptophyta; Magnoliopsida; Fabales; Fabaceae. The record is from RNAcentral.